This 205-nucleotide ribosomal RNA is filed under the name uncultured bacterium. RNAcentral's name for it is "partial 16S ribosomal RNA". It matches the Rfam family "Bacterial small subunit ribosomal RNA", at positions 1296 to 1500 of the family's 1533-position model. The record is from RNAcentral.
GAUUGUAGGCUGAAACUCGCCUGCAUGAAGUCGGAAUUGCUAGUAAUCGCGGAUCAGCAUGCCGCGGUGAAUACGUUCCCGGGCCUUGUACACACCGCCCGUCACACCAUGAGAGCCGGUAACACCCGAAGUCAAUAGCCUAACCGCAAGGAGGGCAUUGCCGAAGGUGGGAUUAGUAAUUGGGGUGAAGUCGUAACAAGGUAUC